Molecule: ribosomal RNA, 252 nt
Filed under: uncultured bacterium
Lineage: Bacteria
Description: partial 16S ribosomal RNA
Rfam family: Bacterial small subunit ribosomal RNA
Source: RNAcentral
UACGGAGGAUGCGAGCGUUAUCCGGACUUAUUGGGUUUAAAGGGUGCGCAGGCGGCGUGUCAAGUCAGCGGUAAAAUGUCGGGGCUCAACCCCGGCCGGCCGUUGAAACUGGCGUGCUCGAGUUGGAGAGAAGUAUGCGGAAUUCGUGGUGUAGCGGUGAAAUGCAUAGAUAUCACGAGGAACCCCGAUUGCGAAGGCAGCAUACCGGCUCCACACUGACGCUGAGGCACGAAAGCGUGGGUAUCGAACAGG